CGCACAUUGCGCCUUUUGGUAUUCCGAAAGGCACGUCCGUUUGAGCGUCAUUAAAACCCUCAUGGAGCAAUUCAUGGUAUUGGGGGCGGCCUGGCUGCCCCUUGAAUCAGUAACCGGCACCGGGAGACUAAUAAUCUAUCUGUCAACCACGGCCGUGAUCCGGGACGGAGGCACGAAGUGCCGGAGUCCCUUGCUCUUGACCUCAAAUCGGAUGAGGAUACCCGCUGAACUUAA
Molecule: unclassified non-coding RNA, 234 nt
Filed under: Hyalorbilia oviparasitica
Lineage: Eukaryota; Fungi; Ascomycota; Orbiliomycetes; Orbiliales; Orbiliaceae
Description: partial contains 5.8S ribosomal RNA, internal transcribed spacer 2, and large subunit ribosomal RNA
Source: RNAcentral